ACAGGUGCUGCAUGGCUGUCGUCAGCUCGUGUUGUGAAAUGUUGGGUUAAGUCCCGCAACGAGCGCAACCCUUAUCCUUUGUUGCCAGCGAUUCGGUCGGGAACUCAAAGGAGACUGCCGGUGAUAAACCGGAGGAAGGUGGGGAUGACGUCAAGUCAUCAUGGCCCUUACGAGUAGGGCUACACACGUGCUACAAUGGCGCAUACAAAGAGAAGCGACCUCGCGAGAGCAAGCGGACCUCACAAAGUGCGUCGUAGUCCGGAUCGGAGUCUGCAACUCGACUCCGUGAAGUCGGAAUCGCUAGUAAUCGUGGAUCAAAAUGCCACGGUGAAUACGUUCCCGGGCUGGUA
RNAcentral lists this ribosomal RNA (350 nucleotides) under uncultured Gammaproteobacteria bacterium. RNAcentral's name for it is "bacterial SSU rRNA". It matches the Rfam family "Bacterial small subunit ribosomal RNA", at positions 1034 to 1379 of the family's 1533-position model. The record is from RNAcentral. Lineage: Bacteria; Pseudomonadati; Pseudomonadota; Gammaproteobacteria.